UCGCGGCCUGGGCGGCGGCGGCCUGGGCGCUGGACGCGCCACCGGAGCGGGUCGCCGGCGUUGCCGUGGU
This 70-nucleotide transfer RNA is filed under the name Streptomyces echinoruber. Its description in RNAcentral is "tRNA-Ser". The record is from RNAcentral. Lineage: Bacteria; Bacillati; Actinomycetota; Actinomycetes; Kitasatosporales; Streptomycetaceae.